RNAcentral lists this ribosomal RNA (253 nucleotides) under uncultured Gemmata sp. Its description in RNAcentral is "partial 16S ribosomal RNA". It matches the Rfam family "Bacterial small subunit ribosomal RNA", at positions 524 to 776 of the family's 1533-position model. The record is from RNAcentral. Lineage: Bacteria; Pseudomonadati; Planctomycetota; Planctomycetia; Gemmatales; Gemmataceae.
GACGAACCGUGCGAACGUUGUUCGGAUUCACUGGGCUUAAAGGGCGCGUAGGCGGUGCGACAAGUCGGGGGUGAAAUCUUUCGGCCCAACCGGAAAAGGGCCCCCGAUACUGGCGCGCUGGAGGGAGGUAGGGGCAUGUGGAACUCCAGGUGGAGCGGUGAAAUGCGUAGAUAUCUGGAGGAACGCCGGUGGCGAAAGCGACGUGCUGGACCUUCUCUGACGCUGAGGCGCGAAAGCUAGGGGAGCAAACGGG